CCUACGGGAGGCUGCAGUAGGGAAUAUUGCUCAAUGGGGGAAACCCUGAAGCAGCAACGCCGCGUGGAGGAUGAAGGUUUUCGGAUUGUAAACUCCUUUUGUUAGAGAAGAUAAUGACGGUAUCUAACGAAUAAGCACCGGCUAACUCCGUGCCAGCAGCCGCGGUAAUACGGAGGGUGCAAGCGUUACUCGGAAUCAAUGGGCGUAAAGAGAGCGUAGGCGGGAUAGCAAGUCAGAUGUGAAAUCCUAUGGCUUAACCAUAGAACUGCAUUUGACACUGUUCUUCUAGAGUAUGGGAGAGGUAGGUGGAAUUCUUGGUGUAUGGGUAAAAUCCGUAGAGAUCAAGAGGAAUACUCAUUGCGAAGGCGACCUGCUAGAACAUAACUGACGCUGAUGCGCGAAAGCGUGGGGAGCAAACAGGAUUAGAUACCCUUGUAGUC
RNAcentral lists this ribosomal RNA (440 nucleotides) under uncultured bacterium. RNAcentral's name for it is "partial 16S ribosomal RNA". It matches the Rfam family "Bacterial small subunit ribosomal RNA", at positions 338 to 795 of the family's 1533-position model. The record is from RNAcentral.